Molecule: ribosomal RNA, 253 nt
Filed under: uncultured bacterium
Lineage: Bacteria
Description: partial 16S ribosomal RNA
Rfam family: Bacterial small subunit ribosomal RNA
Source: RNAcentral
UACGAAGGGGGCUAGCGUUGCUCGGAAUUACUGGGCGUAAAGCGCACGUAGGCGGCUUUCUAAGUCGGGGGUGAAAUCCUGGAGCUCAACUCCAGAACUGCCUUCGAUACUGGAGAGCUCGAGUCCGGGAGAGGUGAGUGGAACUGCGAGUGUAGAGGUGAAAUUCGUAGAUAUUCGCAAGAACACCAGUGGCGAAGGCGGCUCACUGGUCCGGUACUGACGCUGAGGUGCGAAAGCGUGGGGAGCAAACAGG